ACUGAACGCUGGCGGCAGGCUUAACACAUGCAAGUCGAGCGGGGUGAUGGUGCUUGCACUAUCACUUAGCGGCGGACGGGUGAGUAAUGCUUAGGAAUCUGCCUAUUAGUGGGGGACAACAUCUCGAAAGGGAUGCUAAUACCGCAUACGUCCUACGGGAGAAAGCAGGGGAUCACUUGUGACCUUGCGCUAAUAGAUGAGCCUAAGUCGGAUUAGCUAGUUGGUGGGGUAAAGGCCUACCAAGGCGACGAUCUGUAGCGGGUCUGAGAGGAUGAGCCGCCACACUGGGACUGAGAAACGGCCCAGACUCCUACGGGAGGCAGCAGUGGGGAAUAUUGGACAAUGGGGGGAACCCUGAUCCAGCCAUGCCGCGUGUGCGAAGAAGGCCUUAUGGUUGUAAAGCACUUUAAGCGAGGAGGAGGCUCUUUUGGUUAAUACCCAAGAUGAGUGGACGUUACUCGCAGAAUAAGCACCGGCUAACUCUGUGCCAGCAGCCGCGGUAA
This 503-nucleotide ribosomal RNA is filed under the name uncultured bacterium. Its description in RNAcentral is "partial 16S ribosomal RNA". It matches the Rfam family "Bacterial small subunit ribosomal RNA", at positions 30 to 523 of the family's 1533-position model. The record is from RNAcentral.